RNA transcript from Vicia villosa (hairy vetch), 1616 nucleotides. It is a transcript of the gene named actin-related protein 7-like, with no coding region annotated. NCBI's taxonomy places the organism in Eukaryota, Viridiplantae, Streptophyta, Magnoliopsida, Fabales, Fabaceae. The record is from RefSeq and is a predicted model, not a curated record. The transcript is spliced from 7 exons.
AGGGAUUAGGGUUAGUAUUUGGGACCAAUCUCCCUCUCUCGUGAAGCUCAUAAUCUCUCUUUCUCCUUCCUCACUCGCGAUCAAGACGAAGCGGCAGCCUCCGCUCCAAACUCUUCUCCGUCCUUUCUCUUCUCCGUCCUUCCUCUUCUCCAUCCUUUCUCCGGCGAACGGCGCAACGGCGAUUUGCAACCAAACACGACGAAGAUCAUCUCUCCGCUCCAAACUCUCUUUCAUCGUCGAUCUGCUCUCUCUCUCUCUCUCUCUCUCUCUCUCUCUCUCUCUCUCUCUCUCUCUCUCUCUCUCGAUUCAAAUUGAAUCAUUGCGAUUGUGAAGAAAGUUUGAUGUUCUUCGAAAUCCAAAAGUCUCCAAGAAAUCUAUUCACGGAAGUAGCGGCGAUUGCGAUACAUUUCUGAUACUAUUCUUCUGUUUUGAAGAGAGAUUUCAGAAGGAAUCUUUGCUAAGUUCAUCUGCUGUUCGACCGACCUUGGUUAAGGUACUGUUCUUGUUGAGAGUACGCAAGAACCGAAGCAUGUCGUUCGGCAGCUCAUUGUUUGCAUAGACGUUUCUUUGACGGCAGAAUAAUGAUAGUUCAGUAUAUUGCCCCGAGUCUAUACAGAGCAAGAUUUACAAAAUGAGCAUUUCAAAGUGAGGGAUAUUGCUCCAGUUAUUGAGGGUGCUGUUAACCACAUUGCCUCGAGAAGAUUUGAGUUUGGAGGUACUGAUCUAACUAAUUAUCUGGCUCAAGAACUAGGCAAAUCCAAUCCGCAAGUGAAUAUCAGUAUGUCUGAUGUUGAGAAAAUAAACAGCUAUACUCAUGUUGUGCUGAAGAUGACUUUGCUUAUCUGAAGACCAAAGAUCAUUGUCCUGUGGAGACACAUACCCUUCCUGAUGGACAGUGCAGGUGAUAACAAUUGGAAGAGAAAUAUAUACAGUUGGUGAAGCUUUAUUCCAGCCAAGUCUAUUGGGUUUAGAGGCUCAUGGCAUUGUAGAGCAGCUUGUCUGUACUAUUUCAACAGUGACAUAUGAUAAUCAUCGGCAACUUCUGGAAAAUACUGUGGUUUGUGGUGGCACUUCUUCUAUGACUGGUUAACCGAUGGUUGUCAAGUUGUGGUUAUAAGCUUUGGUAUGAGAUUCGAAUAUUCUUUGGAGGACCUGACGAUAAUGAAGCGCUUGCUUACGGUAUGAGAAUAGCCAAACAUCCCGACAUUGUGCUAACUGUUGUUAAAUUUGUGUCUCCACCCGGAACAACAUUAUCAUUCAGCGCUAAGUUAGUUGGUGUUGCAUCGAUAGAAUAUACUAUGUUAGGAAGAAUGUAAAUAGGUUAACAGUUGAUUGUAUAUUAUCAAAGAAUGUAAAUAGGUUAACUGGUGAUUGUAUGUUAUCAUUUCAUCAUUAAUUUUUUUACUGAGGUACUUUUGAAUUUUCAUUUGUAUCAUAUUUCCAAACAAAUGAUAUUAUUAUUAUGAUUAUUAUUAUUAUUAUUAUGAUUAUGAUUAUUAUUAUGAUUAUGAUUAUGAUUAUGAUUAUGAUUAUUAUUGUUAUUGUUAUUAUUAUUAUUAUUAUCAUUAUUAUUAUUAUUAUUUUGUGUAAAAAACAGGUGCAUAUAAAAUAUAUAA